RNAcentral lists this ribosomal RNA (244 nucleotides) under uncultured Gardnerella sp. RNAcentral describes it as "partial 16S ribosomal RNA". It matches the Rfam family "Bacterial small subunit ribosomal RNA", at positions 111 to 355 of the family's 1533-position model. The record is from RNAcentral. Lineage: Bacteria; Bacillati; Actinomycetota; Actinomycetes; Bifidobacteriales; Bifidobacteriaceae.
UAAUGCGUGACCAACCUGCCCCAUGCUCCAGAAUAGCUCUUGGAAACGGGUGGUAAUGCUGGAUGCUCCAACUUGACGCAUGUCUUGUUGGAAAGUGUUUAGUGGCAUGGGAUGGGGUCGCGUCCUAUCAGCUUGUAGGCGGGGUAAUGGCCCACCUAGGCUUCGACGGGUAGCCGGCCUGAGAGGGCGGACGGCCACAUUGGGACUGAGAUACGGCCCAGACUCCUACGGGAGGCAGCAGCUA